Molecule: unclassified non-coding RNA, 334 nt
Filed under: soil metagenome
Description: partial contains 5.8S ribosomal RNA, internal transcribed spacer 2, and large subunit ribosomal RNA
Rfam family: 5.8S ribosomal RNA (bases 1-120)
Source: RNAcentral
GAUGAAGAACGCAGCGAAAUGCGAUAAGUAAUGUGAAUUGCAGAAUUCAGUGAAUCAUCGAAUCUUUGAACGCACAUUGCGCCCGCUAGUACUCUAGCGGGCAUGCCUGUUCGAGCGUCAUUUGUACCUUCAAGCUUUGCUUGGUGUUGGGUGUUUGUCCAUUCUCUUGCAGAGGGACUCGCCUUAAAGUAAUUGGCAGCCAGUGUUUUGGUUUUGAAGCGCAGCACAAGUCGCGAUUCAAAGCUAUACGCCCGCUUCCACAAGCCUUUUUCACUUUUGACCUCGGAUCAGGUAGGGAUACCCGCUGAACUUAAGCAUAUCAAUAAGCGGAGGA